RNAcentral lists this ribosomal RNA (253 nucleotides) under uncultured bacterium. RNAcentral's name for it is "partial 16S ribosomal RNA". It matches the Rfam family "Bacterial small subunit ribosomal RNA", at positions 524 to 776 of the family's 1533-position model. The record is from RNAcentral.
UACGAAGGGGGCUAGCGUUGUUCGGAAUUACUGGGCGUAAAGAGCUCGUAGGCGGUUUGUCGCGUCUGCCGUGAAAGCCCGGGGCUCAACUCCGGAUCUGCGGUGGGUACGGGCAGACUAGAGUGAUGUAGGGGAGAUUGGAAUUCCUGGUGUAGCGGUGAAAUGCGCAGAUAUCAGGAGGAACACCGAUGGCGAAGGCAGGUCUCUGGGCAUUAACUGACGCUGAGGAGCGAAAGCAUGGGGAGCGAACAGG